GCGUCAGGGCCGCUGGCCUCUCCUUGGCUGUUGGAGAGCCAUAGAAUACCUGUUUCAGAGCUGAAGGGUACCUGAGCCCAUGAUAAUCCAUUACCUCGUGAGAAAGCGGAAAAACUGACUUCAGCUUGCCCAGAUGGCGCAGAGAAUGGGUUUCCCGUAACCCCGCCUGUGUCUUUCCUUCAGCCUCGUCCCAAAUGCCGUGGGAGGGAAGGCACUCUCUGUCAAGCUGCUGUCACCUUACCUGAAGUAAGGAGUCCACGCCUGCAUGUCCGAGGAAAACAGUUUUCUCAAACACAUUAGUUGAAAAACUGAAGACGCUGCCUAAAAUACAAGCUGAGUUAGAGACAGCCCUUGUAAGACUAGGCCUUCAGGGGAGUCUAGAACUAUGCCACUGACUCUCCUGGUCUCCAGUUUUUCAACUUCAAAUCUUGGGAUUUAGUCUCGAUGAUCAUAAAAAGAAAUGGAAACUAAGUAACAUGAAUUAACAUAGUCCAGGGUCACAAAGCAAAAUGGAACAAGAACCUGGAUCUGAAUUCAGAGGCAGAAUGCUGGGCCUGAGAAUCAGGAGAGUCAAUGGUAUUAGUGCUUGUCCGGAAGCCAUCAUGCUUCAAAACCAAGAAGAGCUGAUUUUCCAGUUGGAGUCUAAAG
RNAcentral lists this non-coding RNA (648 nucleotides) under Pan troglodytes (chimpanzee). Lineage: Eukaryota; Metazoa; Chordata; Mammalia; Primates; Hominidae. The record is from RNAcentral.